Molecule: ribosomal RNA, 253 nt
Filed under: uncultured bacterium
Lineage: Bacteria
Description: partial 16S ribosomal RNA
Rfam family: Bacterial small subunit ribosomal RNA
Source: RNAcentral
UACGAAGGGGGCUAGCGUUGUUCGGAAUCACUGGGCGUAAAGCGCACGUAGGCGGAUGUGCCAGUCAGGGGUGAAAUCCCGGAGCUCAACUUCGGAACUGCCUCUGAUACAGCACGUCUUGAGUCCGGAAGAGGUGGGUGGAACUGCGAGUGUAGAGGUGAAAUUCGUAGAUAUUCGCAAGAACACCAGUGGCGAAGGCGGCUCACUGGCCCGGUACUGACGCUGAGGUGCGAAAGCGUGGGGAGCAAACAGG